RNAcentral lists this ribosomal RNA (456 nucleotides) under uncultured Pseudomonas sp. RNAcentral describes it as "bacterial SSU rRNA". It matches the Rfam family "Bacterial small subunit ribosomal RNA", at positions 924 to 1382 of the family's 1533-position model. The record is from RNAcentral. Lineage: Bacteria; Pseudomonadati; Pseudomonadota; Gammaproteobacteria; Pseudomonadales; Pseudomonadaceae.
CACAAGCGGUGGAGCAUGUGGUUAAUUCGAAGCAACGCGAAGAACCUUACCAGGCCUUGACAUGCAGAGAACUUCAGAGAUGGAUUGGUGCCUUCGGGAACUCUGACACAGGUGCUGCAUGGCUGUCGUCAGCUCGUGUCGCGAGAUGUUGGGUUAAGUCCCGUAACGAGCGCAACCCUUGUCCUUAGUUACCAGCACGUUAUGGUGGGCACUCUAAGGAGACUGCCGGUGACAAACCGGAGGAAGGUGGGGAUGACGUCAAGUCAUCAUGGCCCUUACGGCCUGGGCUACACACGUGCUACAAUGGUCGGUACAAAGGGUUGCCAAGCCGCGAGGUGGAGCUAAUCCCAUAAAACCGAUCGUAGUCCGGAUCGCAGUCUGCAACUCGACUGCGUGAAGUCGGAAUCGCUAGUAAUCGUGAAUCAGAAUGUCACGGUGAAUACGUUCCCGGGCCUU